GACGAACGCUGGCGGCGUGCCUAAUACAUGCAAGUAGAACGCUGAAGGAGGAGCUUGCUCUUCUGGAUGAGUUGCGAACGGGUGAGUAACGCGUAGGUAACCUGCCUGGUAGCGGGGGAUAACUAUUGGAAACGAUAGCUAAUACCGCAUAAUAGUAGUUGUUGCAUGACAACUGUUUGAAAGGUGCAAUUGCAUCACUACCAGAUGGACCUGCGUUGUAUUAGCUAGUUGGUGGGGUAACGGCUCACCAAGGCGACGAUACGUAGCCGACCUGAGAGGGUGAUCGGCCACACUGGGACUGAGACACGGCCCAGACUCCUACGGGAGGCAGCAGUAGGGAAUCUUCGGCAAUGGACGGAAGUCUGACCGAGCAACGCCGCGUGAGUGAAGAAGGUUUUCGGAUCGUAAAGCUCUGUUGUAAGAGAAAGAAACGAAGUGUGAGAAGUGGA
This 449-nucleotide ribosomal RNA is filed under the name Streptococcus mitis. Its description in RNAcentral is "bacterial SSU rRNA". It matches the Rfam family "Bacterial small subunit ribosomal RNA", at positions 28 to 472 of the family's 1533-position model. The record is from RNAcentral. Lineage: Bacteria; Bacillati; Bacillota; Bacilli; Lactobacillales; Streptococcaceae.